CGCUAAUACCGCAUACGACCUACGGGUGAAAGCAGGGGACCUUCGGGCCUUGCGCGAUUGAAUGAGCCGAUGUCGGAUUAGCUAGUUGGCGGGGUAAAGGCCACCAAGGCGACGAUCCGUAGCUGGUCUGAGAGGAUGAUCAGCCACACUGGAACUGAGACACGGUCCAGACUCCUACGGGAGGCAGCAGUGGGGAAUAUUGGACAAUGGGCGCAACUGAAUCCAGCCAUACCGCGUGGGUGAAGAAGGCCUUCGGGUUGUGAAGCCCUUUUGUUGGGAAAGAAAUCCAGCCGGCUAAUACCUGGGUGGGAUGACGGUACCCAAAGAAUAAGCACCGGCUAACUUCGUGCCAGCAGCCCGCGGUAAUACGAAGGGUGCAAGCGUUACUCGGAAUUACUGGGCGUAAAGCGUGCGUAGGUGGUCGUUUAAGUCUGUUGUGAAAGCCCUGGGCUCAACCUGGGAACUGCAGUGGAAACUGGACGACUAGAGUGUGGUAGAGGGUAGCGGAAUUCCUGGUGUAGCAGUGAAAUGCGUAGAGAUCAGGAGGAACAUCCAUGGCGAAGGCA
This 566-nucleotide ribosomal RNA is filed under the name Stenotrophomonas sp. X173. RNAcentral's name for it is "bacterial SSU rRNA". It matches the Rfam family "Bacterial small subunit ribosomal RNA", at positions 161 to 723 of the family's 1533-position model. Lineage: Bacteria; Pseudomonadati; Pseudomonadota; Gammaproteobacteria; Lysobacterales; Lysobacteraceae. The record is from RNAcentral.